CAAAGAUGCAAUGGUAAGAGAGCAGAAGUUAAAACAAGGUCAAUCGAAAAGACAUUUAAUUGAAAGAAUACAAGAUAGUAUAAAUCUUUGUGAAUAAAAUUGAGUGCGGGAUAGUGGCGGACGGGUGAGUAACGCGUGAACAAUCUGCCCCGUACAAAGGGAUAGCCUCGGGAAACCGGGAUUAAAACCAUAUAACACUUAACUGCCGCAUGGUAGUGAAGUCAAAUCGAGUAAGAGGUAUGGGAUGAGUUCGCGUCUGAUUAGCUAGUUGGUGAGGUAAGGGCUCACCAAGGCGACGAUCAGUAGCCGGCCUGAGAGGGUGAACGGCCACACUGGAACUGAGACACGGUCCAGACUCCUACGGGAGGCAGCAGUGGGGAAUAUUGCACAAUGGAGGGAACUCUGAUGCAGCGACGCCGCGUGAGUGAAGAAGGUCUUCGGAUCGUAAAACUCUGUCCUUGGUGAAGAAAAGGACGGUAGCCAAGGAGGAAGCCCCGGCUAACUACGUG
Molecule: ribosomal RNA, 509 nt
Filed under: uncultured bacterium
Lineage: Bacteria
Description: bacterial SSU rRNA
Rfam family: Bacterial small subunit ribosomal RNA
Source: RNAcentral